AUAUGCAGGGUUCUUGUUGGGAACAACAAAUGGAGAGACAACAAUGGGACCAACCACUGCACUAUUAAAUGAGUGCAUAACUCUUACUCCCUGCAUGAACGGAGGAACAUGUACAGAUACCAGUCUUCCACCCGGUUACUCAUGCAGCUGUGUAGCAGAAUUCACAGGACCAACUUGUGAAGAAGAAAAUGAGUGCAUAACUCUUACUCCCUGCGUGAAUGGAGGGGCAUGCACAGAAAGUAUGGGUUCAGAAACUACAGAUACCAGUGAUAUCGGUUACUCAUGCAGCUGUGUAGCAGGAUACACAGGAAUAAAUUGUG
This 320-nucleotide long non-coding RNA is filed under the name Strongylocentrotus purpuratus (purple sea urchin). RNAcentral's name for it is "uncharacterized LOC115928643". Lineage: Eukaryota; Metazoa; Echinodermata; Echinoidea; Camarodonta; Strongylocentrotidae. The record is from RNAcentral.